GAUUAGAGUUUGAUCCUGGCUCAGAUUGAACGCUGGCGGCAUGCUUAACACAUCCAAGUCGAACGGCAGCAUGAGUAGGGGUAACCUUACUUGAUGGCGAGUGGCGGACGGGUGAGUAAUAUGUAGGAAUCUACCUAGAGGAGGGGGAUAACUUGGGGAAACUCAAGCUAAUACCACAUAAGCCCUACGGGGGAAAGCAGGGGAUCGAAAGACCUUGUGCCUUAUGAUGAGCCUACAUCGGAUUAGCUAGUUGGUGGGGUAAAGGCCUACCAAGGCGACGAUCCGUAGCUGGUCUGAGAGGAUGAUCAGCCACACUGGGACUGAGACACGGCCCAGACUCCUACGGGAGGCAGCAGUGGGGAAUAUUGGACAAUGGGCGAAAGCCUGAUCCAGCAAUGCCGCGUGUGUGAAGAAGGCCUUAGGGUUGUAAAGCACUUUCAGUGGGGAGGAAGGGUGUAAUGCUAAUACCAUUGCACAUUGACGUACCUACAGAAGAAGCAC
This 501-nucleotide ribosomal RNA is filed under the name uncultured bacterium. Its description in RNAcentral is "bacterial SSU rRNA". It matches the Rfam family "Bacterial small subunit ribosomal RNA", at positions 1 to 493 of the family's 1533-position model. The record is from RNAcentral.